Molecule: RNA transcript, 2214 nt
Organism: Papaver somniferum (opium poppy)
Lineage: Eukaryota; Viridiplantae; Streptophyta; Magnoliopsida; Ranunculales; Papaveraceae
Exons: 3
Source: RefSeq, a predicted model, not a curated record
UAAAAAAAGAAAUGAAUGUUUCUCUUCUUCUUUCGUCGUUCAAACCCCAGACUCGAUUCGAAACUCCUUACUGGCACCAACAAUACUCUCAUCUCAGGAAACCCAAAUUGGAGACGGAGGAAUUCAAAAGGAUGGAUUGUGCCACUCAUGUCAGUUAGGUAAGCACAAAAGGUUACCUUUCUCAACUUUAAAUAGAACUACUUCUGCACCUCUGCAAUUGGUUCAUUGUGAUGCACGGGGACCUACUUCUACUUCGUCUUCGCUGGCUAUAGCCUAUAGGUACUACAUUCUUAUUAUUGAUCAUUUUAGUAGGUAUAAUUGGUUAUAUCUUAUGAAGCUUAAAAACAGAUGCUUUAGAUUGUUCCCAACAUUUUAAAGCAACAACUGAGAAUUUGUUUAGCUGCACAAUUGAGAUGUUUCAGUCAGAUGGUGCUUGUGAACUAGUUUAAGUGAAAUUCAGAGAGUUCAUAGAUGGAUGUGGUAUAGUCAUUUCAUGCUCUUGCUCUGCCCAAAUACUCAACAAUAAAAUGGCCUAGCUUAGAAGAAACAUAGACAUGUGAGUGAAGUAGGUAAAACAAUUUCUUUUCAAGCAUUUUACCUAAAUCCUUCUGGAAAUAAUCAUUCCUCACUGCAGCAUAUCUCAUUAAUAGAACUCCUAAAUUACUUGGUUAUGAAUCACCUUUUGAGAUUUGUUUAAGCAACCAGAUUAUUCCUUUUUAAAGCGUAUGUAUGUGCUUGUUACCCAAACUUUGUUCCUUGCACUAAAGAUAAGUUGAGUCCCUAACCACUUUGUGUGUGUUUUUAGGAUAUAGUCUGUGGCAUAAACGAUACAGGUGUUUUGAUUUGGCUACCAAGAAGGUCUAUGUCUCUAGACAUGUGGCCGUUGAAUGAGAAUCUUUUUCCUUUUCCGACUGCAGUCUCAAUUCCUUCAUCUACUUUACCAAUUGAUUUAGCUAUCAUUUCAUUUCCAGAAUUCUUUUUACCUACUACUUUACAAUCUCUAUCUAAUAUGCCAGAAAUACCUAUUCAUAUUCCUCAAGUAGCCAGAUUACCUUCAGCUCCAGACAUUGUUCAGCUACUCAAUGUACCAAUAGCUCCAUAUACUUACUGGUAGUGCCACUACCAUUGUCACUAGGUCUAGAUAUGGUACUAGAAAAGCUAAGGCCUUACUACAGUUUUUGUUCCUCAUUUUGCUUCUAGAUAUCCUGUUGAGCUAAAAACAGAUAAAACCGUUUCUAAGGAUCCUAAAUGGGUAGAGGCUAUGUCACAAGAAUUUCAGAAUGUACACACCAAUCAGAAAUGGAUGUUGGUUCCAAAUUCUUCUUCUAUAGAUGUACUUGGAUGUGGUGUACAAGGAAAAACUUAAAGCUGAUAGUUGAUGGGUUCAAGGCCAGCAGGUCAGUUGAGUUUUAGGAGAAGUCAUAUGGUUUUAGUUUGGAAAUGUCUGAGGUUUCUUGAAGAUUCAAUUGGUUGUGGAAUCAAACUGGCUGCUGGUGAUUUUGCUUUAUCUGGGUUUUCCAAUUCAGACUGAGCUGGAUGCUCUGACCCCAGAAAAUCCGCUGCUGGGUAUUGUGUAUUUUUGGGUCAUUCCUUAGUAGCUUGGAGGUCUAAAAGGUUGCCAACUGUUGCUAACUCUUCUUCAGAAGCAGAGUAUAAGGCCUUAGCUUUGCUUGCUUCAGAAGUACUAUGGAUUUCCUACUUGUUAGCUGAGUUGAACAUCAGUUAUUCAAAUUUUUUUCAGCUGUUCCGUGAUAACACCAGUUUUUCAUGCAAGUUCCCAACAUAUCGAGUUGGAUUAUCACUAUGUCGGGGAUUUGGUGGCUGCUGGUUAUGUUGAGAUCAGCAUCGUUCCUUCUCAUUUGCAGGUGGUGGCAUAUAUCGUUACUAAAGGACUUACUUCACCAGUCUUCAGUCCAAGCUUAUGCAUCCUACUUCUACUUAGCUUGAGGGGGAGUAUUAUUAACUGAAGAAUUUUCUUCUUUUGUGUUGUUUUAAAUUUGUCCAUUCAAUUGUGUUUUUGCUCAGUUUGUUAAGAGUCUGAGUCAACCAGAUGAUGUAUGACAAGUCUGUUGAAAUUGGUUGAAUGGUCAUCUGUUCUAUUCUUCUUUCUGUUAGUGACUUCUGUCUCUGUCUCCUGUCUCUUAUAAAAGCUAAACCGAGUCCUGUGUUUUCUUAUCCAUUUUCAUUUUAAUAAAAAUCCUGAACAAGUACUAU